Molecule: ribosomal RNA, 465 nt
Filed under: uncultured Klebsiella sp.
Lineage: Bacteria; Pseudomonadati; Pseudomonadota; Gammaproteobacteria; Enterobacterales; Enterobacteriaceae
Description: bacterial SSU rRNA
Rfam family: Bacterial small subunit ribosomal RNA
Source: RNAcentral
CCUACGGGAGGCAGCAGUGGGGAAUAUUGCACAAUGGGCGCAAGCCUGAUGCAGCCAUGCCGCGUGUGUGAAGAAGGCCUUCGGGUUGUAAAGCACUUUCAGCGGGGAGGAAGGCGGUGAGGUUAAUAACCUCAUCGAUUGACGUUACCCGCAGAAGAAGCACCGGCUAACUCCGUGCCAGCAGCCGCGGUAAUACGGAGGGUGCAAGCGUUAAUCGGAAUUACUGGGCGUAAAGCGCACGCAGGCGGUCUGUCAAGUCGGAUGUGAAAUCCCCGGGCUCAACCUGGGAACUGCAUUCGAAACUGGCAGGCUAGAGUCUUGUGGAGGGGGGUAGAAUUCCAGGUGUAGCGGUGAAAUGCGUAGAGAUCUGGAGGAAUACCGGUGGCGAAGGCGGCCCCCUGGACAAAGACUGACGCUCAGGUGCGAAAGCGUGGGGAGCAAACAGGAUUAGAUACCCGUGUAGUC